Molecule: ribosomal RNA, 265 nt
Filed under: uncultured bacterium
Lineage: Bacteria
Description: partial 16S ribosomal RNA
Rfam family: Bacterial small subunit ribosomal RNA
Source: RNAcentral
GUCCACGCCCUAAACGAUGCAUAUUUGGUGUUGGCAGUUCAUUCUGUCCGUGCCGGAGCUAACGCGUUAAAUAUGCCGCCUGGGGAGUACAGUCGCAAGGCUGAAACUCAAAGGAAUUGACGGGGGCCCCGCACAAGCGGUGGAGCAUGUGGUUCAAUUCGACGCAACGCGAAGAACCUUACCUGGGCUCGAACGGCUGGUCAACGAGGGUGGAAACACCUUUACUCCGCAAGGGGGUCCAGUCGAGGUGCUGCAUGGCUGUCGU